RNAcentral lists this ribosomal RNA (402 nucleotides) under uncultured Rhodoplanes sp. RNAcentral describes it as "bacterial SSU rRNA". It matches the Rfam family "Bacterial small subunit ribosomal RNA", at positions 355 to 774 of the family's 1533-position model. The record is from RNAcentral. Lineage: Bacteria; Pseudomonadati; Pseudomonadota; Alphaproteobacteria; Hyphomicrobiales; Nitrobacteraceae.
UUAGGAAUCUUGGACAAUGGGCGCAAGCCUGAUCCAGCCAUGCCGCGUGAGUGAUGAAGGCCUUAGGGUUGUAAAGCUCUUUCAGCGGGGAAGAUAAUGACGGUACCCGCAGAAGAAGCCCCGGCUAACUUCGUGCCAGCAGCCGCGGUAAUACGAAGGGGGCUAGCGUUGCUCGGAAUCACUGGGCGUAAAGCGCACGUAGGCGGAUCUUUAAGUCAGGGGUGAAAUCCUGGAGCUCAACUCCAGAACUGCCUUUGAUACUGGCGAUCUUGAGUUCGGGAGAGGUGAGUGGAACUGCGAGUGUAGAGGUGAAAUUCGUAGAUAUUCGCAAGAACACCAGUGGCGAAGGCGGCUCACUGGCCCGAUACUGACGCUGAGGUGCGAAAGCGUGGGGAGCAAACA